GCUAUGGUAGGGGCAGCAGGAUGUGUGGAAGGAAGAAAAAACAAAACAAAACACGUGCAGAGAUGGGGCAAAGAGAGGCUGAGAAGGAAUGGAAAAAUGGAAGUGUCAGCACAUGCAGUGGUCAAGAGAGAGCUGGGUGUUAACUCCCGCCUUCUUAAGCUUCCCUUGGCUUGAAUUUUUGCUGUCUGUCCACUUGAUUCUUCUCUUCAAUUCUGGGGAAACUGAGAAAGGUGGUUCCCCUCAGAGAAGAAAUCAAUACAAAGGAAAUUUGGGGAACCCAGGGACGGGGUAAUGGGAGUCUAGAGGCAAUGGCAACAAAGGUCUGAAUCUGAAGUAGAAGCUGGGGAAAUUCCCCAGCCGGAACAUCCAAGACCUCGCCACCCUAGAAAUGACCUGUGACGGUGUCAGAUUUAAGACCAGAGUGUGUCUCACAUUUCUCCUAGGACCUGGAUAUUUCCCAAAAGGAAGACAUCCGUUUACUCUGUGACCAACAGAAAAGAAGCGGUAACUUGUCAAUAAGGAAGUGGUUUGGGGCUUGACGAAAGACAUUGAAAACGAAUGUGGCUGUUACAUGCUCUUAACAUCAGCCCUGAUAUCAGUUCCCCACAUUGAACCCAGCGUACGUGGGGUUAAAACUAAAACCCACCACCCCCUUUCCUGCUUCUCUAGCUCCACUCACAUGCAAAUACCUGUUUCUUUAAACUUGGACUCUUUGAGCUUUACAACUAAAUGGGAGUUACAAAUUGUUAAAAGCCCAGGUGGCCUGGAGUUGGAGGCACACUAAAGUUUAGCUAAUCAUGUGUCCCUGAGUUUGCCAGGAAAGCCGCUGUCUCAAGAGUAUCAAGGAGCGGAGGCUUCCCAGACCUCAACUCCUCGACUCCCAGCGCUCGAACCCGCCUCAAACAAGAAGACGAGACAACGGCGAAGGACGCCCGCCUGCCAUCCUCCUAUCUCACCCUCCCCCCGCCUUGCUGCAAGCAGCCUCUCAAGGCCAAACGCAGGCUGGUGGGGAAGCACCGAGCUGCACAGCUACAUGUUCCCCCCUCCCCUACCCGAAACCCCAAAUAAAAAUCCCUACCCAUUCCUCAUCGGGGAGCUAGCAAUUUUUGAGGCAUGAGCCCUUGCUUUGCUCCCUGUGCUUGGCAUAGUAAAAACCUUUCCUCUUCCACUCAAGACUCUGUGCUCGUUAUUCGGAUUGGCGUUGGGUUCACAGACCGAACUUUCGGUUACAAUCUGUGUGACACAAAGCCCUCUCUUCUUCCCACUCCACAUGCUGAGAGAGGAAGGUCACAAGUCCCAUUGCCUCUCCCACUCCUCUCUCUUCCUCUCAUCAUCCACCAUGUCUCAGACCAGACUCAUAAAGCACAGAAGUUGAAUGUGCAGAAAGCUUGUAUUGAUUCAAUGCGUGCAUUACCUGCUGUGUGCCAGGCCCUGUGUUGAAUCACAGGGACACACAAAUGAAUGGAGCCUAAAGUUAUCCUCAACAUAUAUGUUCACACUAGCGGCAGCUUGGCCUCUGCUCCAUCCCAGGGAGGGGAAAGAGAAUCUUUGGGCCACAGGACCACACACUAUUCAUCCAUUCAUUCAUUCAACAAAUAUGUGUUAAAACCACCACGUGCCAGGCACUUUCCUAGGCACAGGGAAUUCAGAGGCAAUCAAGACACUAAGUCCCUGUUCUCAGGAGGCUUAUAUAAAAUUAAGAGAUUAUGUUCUCCUGGGAGCAGCUUACUUUGUAGUGAGGGAGUUUCCAUUCUCUCCCGUUGGUGGUGGGCACCAGGUUGUGGGGAGGAAACCAGGUCCAUACUUCAAGACUGGGGACCUUCCACGUUUUCUUCCCGCCCUCAAAGUUCUGUGGGAUGGAUGGAGGUUCAGCAUAGAAAGAGCAUUAGCUGGGGUUGGAGAGAGGCAAGUUCUAAUCCUGGCUCCAACUCACUCGUGAAUAACCUUCUCCAGCCCCCACUCUCUCCAUUUGUGGAGCAUUGGUCCCAUCAGUGGUUCUCAGUGGCAGUGGCGAAGACUCGGGAACUUCUGGAAAACUUAUAGAAGUGUUUUUGGGUUUUGAAAUGAUUGGAGAGGCCUACUGGCAUCGAGUGGAUGAAAGCCAAGGAUGCUGGGCAUCAUAUAUUGCAUAAUCCUUCACACCUAGCAAGUGUCAACAUCUUGCAUGACUUUCAAAAUGUCCCACAGUUGUGAAUGAUGCUAUGAACAUUUGUGUACAAGUAUUUGCUUAAAUACCUGUUUUGAAUUCUUUGGGGUAUAUACUUAGGAGUAGAAUUGCUGGGUCAUAUGGUAAUUCUAUGUCUAACUUUUUGAGGAAACACUGUUUUCCCCUGUAGUAAUAUACGCCUACAAUGGAAUAUUAUUGAGCCAUAAAAAGAAAUGAAGAACUGAUACAUGCUACAGUAUGGACGAACCUCAAAAACACUAUAUGCUAAGUGAAAGAAGCCAGACACAAAAGGUCACCUGUUGUAUGAAUUCAUUAUAUGAAACUUCCAGAAUAAAUAAAUCUGUAGAGACAAAAAGCAGACCAAGUAGUUCCCAGGAGCCUGGGGGAGAAGGAAAUGAGGAAUAACUGCUUAACGGGUACAGGUUUCCGUUUGGGGUGGGCAAAUGUCUUGGAACUAGACAGAGGUGAUGGUUGCCCAACAUCGUGAAAGUAGUAAAUGUCAUUGAAUUAUACACUUUAAAAUGGUUAAUGGUAUUUAUGUUUUAGGAGUUUUACUUCAAUUUUAAAAGUUUUUUGGGGGGCCAGCCUGGUGGCACGGUGGUUAAGUUCACAUGCUCCAAUUCAGCUGCCUGGGAUUUGUGGGUUCGGAUUCUGAGCGUGGACCUACACACCACUCAUCAAGCCAUGCUGUGGCAGCAUCCCACAUACAAAGUAGAGGAAGAUUGGCACAGAUGUUGGCUCAGUGACAAUCUUCCUCAAGCAAGAAGAAGAGGAUUGGCAACAGAUGUUAGCUUAGGGCCAAUCUUCCUCACCAAAAAAAAAAAAAAAAA
Molecule: long non-coding RNA, 2997 nt
Organism: Equus caballus (horse)
Lineage: Eukaryota; Metazoa; Chordata; Mammalia; Perissodactyla; Equidae
Source: Ensembl